Molecule: unclassified non-coding RNA, 484 nt
Filed under: Hevea brasiliensis (rubber tree)
Lineage: Eukaryota; Viridiplantae; Streptophyta; Magnoliopsida; Malpighiales; Euphorbiaceae
Source: RNAcentral
AGAAGAUGCUGUUUGGAGCCAGGUUGCCAAAGCUCAACUCAGAGAGGGAUUAGUGAGUGAUGCUAUUGAAUCAUUUAUUCGGGCAGAUGAUGCUACCCAAUUCUUGGAUGUCAUUCAUGCUGCAGAAGAUGCAGAUGUUUAUCAUGACUUAGUGAAGUAUUUGCUGAUGGUAAGGCAAAAGACUAAGGAACCCAAGGUUGACAGUGAACUCAUUUAUGCUUAUGCUAAGAUUGAUCGAUUGGGCGAAAUUGAAGAAUUCAUUUUAAUGCCAAAUGUUGCUAAUCUACCAAAUGUUGGUGAUCGCUUGUAUGAUGGAGCGUUGUAUGAGGCUGCAAAGAUCAUAUUUGCUUUUAUUUCUAAUUGGGCUAAGUUGGCAAGCACUCUUAUAAAGUUGAAUCAAUUCCAAGGUGCUGUUGAUGCAGCCCGUAAAGCGAACAGUGCAAAAACAUGGAAAGAAGUCUGCUUUGCUUGUGUUGAUGCUGAG